UGCCCGCUAGACAUGUACACUUAACAAUCAUUCCAUACAACAAAUAUAGUAGACCUAUUGCAUAUGGUAUGAGAAAAACAGACCAAAACACAAAAAUUUAACUAUAACCACUGAACCAUGAAAAUGAGGUCAAGGUCAGAUGACACCUGCCAGUUGGACAUGUACACCUUACAGUCCUUCCAUACACCGAAUAUACUAGCCCUAUUGCUUAUAGUAUCUGAGAUAUGGACUUGACCA
RNAcentral lists this long non-coding RNA (237 nucleotides) under Mytilus galloprovincialis (Mediterranean mussel). The record is from RNAcentral. Lineage: Eukaryota; Metazoa; Mollusca; Bivalvia; Mytilida; Mytilidae.